Molecule: long non-coding RNA, 1855 nt
Organism: Eriocheir sinensis (Chinese mitten crab)
Lineage: Eukaryota; Metazoa; Arthropoda; Malacostraca; Decapoda; Varunidae
Exons: 2
Source: RefSeq, a predicted model, not a curated record
CUUAAACCUUAUGCAUGUGUCGCAGUGGUGAUGAUGGUGAUGAUGGUGGUGAGGGGGCGGUUACACUAUACACCCAUGGCAGGCAGGGCAGUGGUGGUGUUGAUGGCAGUGGUAGUGGUGGUGGUGGUGGUGAUAGUGGUGGGGGCGGGUCCUGCUAGAGAUGCCAGUGUGGUGUUGAUGGUGGUGGUGAUGGUGUUGAUAGCGAUGGUAAUGGUGUUACAGGUCACGUCAUCACCAGCACUCCCCAGCAUACAAGUGGUGAUGAUGAUGAUGGUGGUGAUGGUGGUGAUGAAAAGUGGUCAUAAUAUGGACGCAUUGGCAUCUCAUCUCAUGUCCGUAGGAGGGAAGAGAGGGGAAGGAGGAGGAGGAGGGGAAGAGGAAGAGGAAGGAGGGGAGGGAGAAGAGUGGAAGUAGGAGGAGUAGAGGAGGGGAUAGGAAGAAGGAUAAGGAAGGGUAGAGAGACGAAGAGGAAGGAGGAGGAGAAGGAAAAGGGGAUAAAGGGGAAGAAGGAAUGGGGAAAAGAAUUGAAGAAGAGGAGGAGGAGGAGGAGGAGGAAAGGAGAUAUGAAUGGUAAGGAAUGAGGGGAGAGGGGACGUCCAGAGAGAGAGAGAGAGAGAGAGAGAGAGAGAGAGAGAGCACCUCCCCUCACCUCCCCGCCCCAUCCCUUCCUCCCCUCCCGCCCCCACCACCACCACUCGCUCGCUCCCUCCCUUCUGCUGCCGCUUCUUCCCUCCCCGGCCUGUCAGUUUACCUGUGACCUUGUUCGCGCUAACACCUCCGCCGCGUCCACGUGUAGCCUCAGGUAGCAGGUGUGCACGCGCGUGUGUAGGAGUAGAACAGUGAAGGAUACGGACGCAAAAACAAUACCCGUGUUAUACCUGGAGCCAAGAACCGUGUGUAUUUUCACCUGUGUGCGUAUAUGUGUUUGUGCGUUCCCAUGUCUAUAGUGCGCGGGCGGCUUAUGAGACGUAUGCACGCCCGCACGCCCACGUCCACGCCUACAUCAUCGUCGCCAUCGUCAGUGUAGCCACAUCAUGCCGAGGGAUGUCUGCUCCUAGGACCUGUUGCCUCGUCUGACUGGAAUACUGAAUUGGCACUACUGGUUCCCUGCCUGCUGAAACUGGCCUCUCCUCCCUCCCCCCCUUCCUCCUCCUCCUCCUCUUCCACCUCCUCCUAGUGCCCCCUCCUCUUACCCUGCCUCCCUCUUCUCCUUCCCUUCCUUGUCCUUGUUCUCUCAUUCUUUCUUCUUGUCCUUGUCCUCCUUUUUUUUCUUCCUCUUUUUCUUCGUUUAGGUUUGUGUCCUCUUUGCCCUCUUUCCUCUUUUUCUUAUUCUUGAUUAUAUACUUACUCUUUUUUUUCCUCCUCUUCCUCCUCCUCCUCCUCCUUAUUGGCUUCUUCCUCCACGUCCUCCCCAUAAUCUCCGUAUUCUUUUUUUCUCCUUUUCUUUCGCAUUCUCGUAAAACCUCUCCAUUAUCCCUUCCUCCUUCUCUUUCCUUCCUCCACUACGUAACCACACUUCCUUACGCCUUCUUCUACCUACCACCUCUUCAUCCACCUCCACCAUCCCCUCUCAAGCCCACCCCAUUCACACCCCUCCUUUCCCAACCCACCUAGGAGGGCCACACGGUUCCCUCAGUGCCAAAAUGUGCCUCGAAUAAGUGCCACUCCGCCUCUUGUGCUUCCCGCCCUUGCACUACUUUGUGGCACCAUGGCGGACGAGGGAAGCGACAAGAAGAAGGAGCAGAAGGAGGAGAAGCAGAAGAAGGAGCAGCAGAAGGAACAGCAACUUGACGAAGUGGAUAAGGAUAAAGAGAGGAGGGAGAGAGAGGAGAAGAGCAGAACGCCGACUUAUGAG